RNAcentral lists this unclassified non-coding RNA (274 nucleotides) under Chytridiomycota sp. RNAcentral's name for it is "partial contains small subunit ribosomal RNA, internal transcribed spacer 1, and 5.8S ribosomal RNA". The stretch from base 1 to 47 matches the Rfam family "Eukaryotic small subunit ribosomal RNA", at positions 1785 to 1831 of the family's 1831-position model. Lineage: Eukaryota; Fungi; Chytridiomycota. The record is from RNAcentral.
AAAGUCGUAACAAGGUAACCGUAGGUGAACCUGCGGUUGGAUCAUUAAAAAAGUUUGGUUUAAACAAACCGACACCUUCUGUGCACCUUAAUCUGUCUUUGGUAAGUCGAGCUUUGGAUUGGAGGGCAACUUCCGUAUCCGAACUACCCUUGAUCAUAUCUUGGGUUGGCUUGCCAAACAUGUCAACAAACUUAUGUUCCCUUUAAUUUUGUAUGUGUUAAUCACUUUGAUUAAUUAAACUUAAUAACUUUUGACAACGGAUCUCUUGGCUCUC